RNAcentral lists this ribosomal RNA (497 nucleotides) under uncultured bacterium. RNAcentral's name for it is "partial 16S ribosomal RNA". It matches the Rfam family "Bacterial small subunit ribosomal RNA", at positions 28 to 507 of the family's 1533-position model. The record is from RNAcentral.
GACGAACGCUGGCGGCGUGCCUAAUACAUGCAAGUUGAGCGAUGAAGAUUGGUGCUUGCCCCAAUUUGAAGAGCAGCGAACGGGUGAGUAACGCGUGGGGAAUCUGCCUUUGAGCGGGGGACAACAUUUGGAAACGAAUGCUAAUACCGCAUAACAACUUUAAACAUAAGUUUUAAGUUUGAAAGAUGCAAUUGCAUCACUCAAAGAUGAUCCCGCGUUGUAUUAGCUAGUUGGUGAGGUAAAGGCUCACCAAGGCGAUGAUACAUAGCCGACCUGAGAGGGUGAUCGGCCACAUUGGGACUGAGACACGGCCCAAACUCCUACGGGAGGCAGCAGUAGGGAAUCUUCGGCAACGGACGAAAGUCUGACCGAGCAACGCCGCGUGAGGGAAGAAGGUUUUCGGAUCGUAAAACUCUGUUGGUAGAGAAGAACGUUGGUGAGAGUGGAAAGCUCAUCAAGUGACGGUAACUACCCAGAAAGGGACGGCUAACUACGUG